Long non-coding RNA from Passer domesticus (house sparrow), 628 nucleotides. RefSeq lists it as uncharacterized. The record is from RefSeq and is a predicted model, not a curated record. Lineage: Eukaryota; Metazoa; Chordata; Aves; Passeriformes; Passeridae. The transcript is spliced from 3 exons.
GAAUGGAAACAAACAAUGGAUAAUUCAAGUCUGGCAGGAACAGGAAAGGCUGCAAAGGAGCCAGGCAGGUCUGCUGGCUCCCUGGGAGUUAAAAGGGAACAAUUAAGGAAGAUGAGGACACAGCUGAGAAGUGAAAUGAUUUCAUUUCAUAAGUUCUCACCUCAGGGGAUGUUGGGAAAAAUCUGCUCCUGACUUGCUCCUUGCUGGUAAUAAAGCAGUUCUCGGGGUGGAUUCUGUCAUUCCUGUCACCGACUGAUGCUGCCCGAGGAGCUCAUUUCCAUCCCCCCCAGCAGACUCCCCCAAAAAAUCCACGCAGCUCCUCGAGGCAAUGUGAGGGUUAGGUAUUUCCCUCUGAUGGAUCAUCCCCAGUUGUGUCUCCCCGGAAAAUAAAAAUGAAGAAGAAAGGAAGAGAUUGAACAGCGUGUCCUGGAGAGCAAGGCAGAGGGGAAAUGGGCUGUACCUCGGCACUCAGAAGGAAAGGGACCCUUUGGAAUUCAGCAGGAUUGGCAGCAGGACGCCCCAGAGAUGGGGCAGCAGAGGUGGCCUCUCAUCGUGCAUCCUCUCAGUGCUGUGCAGUUAUUUCAUCUCCUCCUCCGAGUUUUGGUCUUCUGUAGCACAUUGAUUUGAA